RNAcentral lists this unclassified non-coding RNA (334 nucleotides) under uncultured fungus. RNAcentral describes it as "partial contains small subunit ribosomal RNA, internal transcribed spacer 1, and 5.8S ribosomal RNA". The stretch from base 1 to 73 matches the Rfam family "Eukaryotic small subunit ribosomal RNA", at positions 1759 to 1831 of the family's 1831-position model. Lineage: Eukaryota; Fungi. The record is from RNAcentral.
GCAAACUUGGUCAUUUAGAGGAAGUAAAAGUCGUAACAAGGUUUCCGUAGGUGAACCUGCGGAAGGAUCAUUAAUGGGUUUUUGCAUGUGAAGGGCUGUUGCUGGCCGCACCACGGCAUGUGCACGCCUGGAUCAUAACACAAUCCGCCUCUCUCUCACACCUGUGCACAACUGUAGCUUAUGGGUUGGAAUUGCAAGUUUGCAAAAUGUCAUAACCGUUUGCUAUGUACUUUUAAACACACCCUGUAAUGAAGUUCUUGCGGAAACAAAUGUAAUACAUAUAACAACUUUCAGCAACGGAUCUCUUGGCUCUCGCAUCGAUGAAGAACGCAGC